AUUGAACGCUGGCGGCAUGCUUUACACAUGCAAGUCGGACGGCAGCACAGAGAAGCUUGCUUCUUGGGUGGCGAGUGGCGAACGGGUGAGUAAUAUAUCGGAACGUACCGAGUAAUGGGGGAUAACUAAUCGAAAGAUUAGCUAAUACCGCAUAUUCUCUGAGGAGGAAAGCCGGGGACCUUCGGGCCUUGCGUUAUUCGAGCGGCCGAUAUCUGAUUAGCUAGUUGGUGGGGUAAAGGCCUACCAAGGCGACGAUCAGUAGCGGGUCUGAGAGGAUGAUCCGCCACACUGGGACUGAGACACGGCCCAGACUCCUACGGGAGGCAGCAGUGGGGAAUUUUGGACAAUGGGCGCAAGCCUGAUCCAGCCAUGCCGCGUGUCUGAAGAAGGCCUUCGGGUUGUAAAGGACUUUUGUCAGGGAAGAAAAGGCUGUUGCUAAUAUCGACAGCUGAUGACGGUACCUGAAGAAUAAGCACCGGCUAACUACGUG
RNAcentral lists this ribosomal RNA (490 nucleotides) under uncultured bacterium. Its description in RNAcentral is "partial 16S ribosomal RNA". It matches the Rfam family "Bacterial small subunit ribosomal RNA", at positions 30 to 507 of the family's 1533-position model. The record is from RNAcentral.